ACUCGAGUGGCGAACGGGUGAGUAACACGUGGGUGAUCUGCCUUGCACUCUGGGAUAAGCUUGGGAAACUGGGUCUAAUACCGGAUAGGAACCGUCUUUAGUGUGGUGGUUGGAAAGUUUUUCGGUGCAAGAUGAGCUCGCGGCCUAUCAGCUUGUUGGUGGGGUAAUGGCCUACCAAGGCGUCGACGGGUAGCCGGCCUGAGAGGGUGUACGGCCACAUUGGGACUGAGAUACGGCCCAG
This 241-nucleotide ribosomal RNA is filed under the name uncultured Actinomycetales bacterium. Its description in RNAcentral is "partial 16S ribosomal RNA". It matches the Rfam family "Bacterial small subunit ribosomal RNA", at positions 89 to 334 of the family's 1533-position model. The record is from RNAcentral. Lineage: Bacteria; Bacillati; Actinomycetota; Actinomycetes; Actinomycetales.